This is an RNA transcript of Pipistrellus kuhlii (Kuhl's pipistrelle), 2155 nucleotides long. It is a transcript of the gene named homeobox D1, with no coding region annotated. The transcript is spliced from 4 exons. Lineage: Eukaryota; Metazoa; Chordata; Mammalia; Chiroptera; Vespertilionidae. The record is from RefSeq and is a predicted model, not a curated record.
GCGGCAGGAGCCCGGCGGCCGGUCCGGUGGGCCUGCAGCCCAGCUCCGGAGGGGAGCGCCGGCACCAUGAGCUCCUACCUGGACUACGUGUCCUGCGGCCGCGCCGGGGUCGGGGGCGACCUGCUCAGCCUGGCGCCCACGUUCCGCCGCGCCGACGCCCGGCCGGGGGCCCUGCAGCCCGCCUUCCCCCUGGGCAGCGGCGACGGCGCUUUCGUGGGCUGCCUGCCCCUGGCCGCCGCCCGCCGCCCCGCGCCUUCGCCGCCCGCCACCCCCGCGCCGCCGCCCGCCGCCCCGCCGUUCGCGCCGUGCCGCCUGGAGGGGGCCUACGAGCCGGGCGCCGCACCUGCCGCCGCGGGGGCCGCCGACCUCGCCUUCCUGGGGCCCGGGCCCGCCUUCGACUUCCCGGGCGCGCUCGGGCGGCCGGCCGACGACGGCGGGGCGCGCGUCCACUACGCCACCUCGGCCGUGUUCUCGGGCGGCGGCUCCGUGCUGCUCAGCGGCCAGGUGGACUGCGCGGCCUUCGGCGAGCCCGGCCCCUUCCCGGCGGGUCUCCGGGAGCCCGCCGACGGCCUCUCCGGGGCCUUCCAGAUCGCGUCCCCGGCCUCCGGCGCCUACCCCACGUCCGCCUCCCCGGCGUCCGGCCUCCCCGCCGCGCUCAGCACCUUCGAGUGGAUGAAAGUGAAGAGGAACGCCCCCAAGAAAAGCAAGCUCACCGAGUGUGGAGCCGCUAGCCCCUCCAGCGCGAUCCGCACGAAUUUCAGCACCAAGCAGCUGACAGAACUGGAGAAGGAGUUUCAUUUCAAUAAGUACUUGACCCGAGCCAGACGCAUCGAGAUAGCCAACUCCUUGCAGCUGAACGACACCCAAGUCAAAAUCUGGUUCCAGAACCGCAGGAUGAAGCAGAAGAAAAGAGAAAGAGAAGGGCUUUUGCCCUCUGCGGCCACCUCUGUGGCUUCCCUCCAGCUUACCCUCUCGCGCAAGAACCUGGGGAGCCCUUCUCAGGCCCAAGAGCCCUCAUGAGAUUGAGUCUUGAGGCUGAGGAAACUUGGCCUGCAGGAGUCACAGGCCAGCCCAUCCUUGUCUAGACUUAACUGGCUCAGUUUGGGGGAUGGAAGUGGGCCUGGGCGGGAAGAGAGGUUUCAUUUGGGAAAGGAAGUAUCUUAGUUGACUUCUGAGUUCCAGGCUGUGGGUGUACAGAUACUAAUUUGAGGUCUCUUUAAGCCACUCAUAUGUGUUUUAUCUGUGUCUUAUCAGGGAAAAGGUGCCUAGCUUGCCAGCCCAACCCUGCUGCUAUGUUGCCUUAGUCAUAUGCAAUUCCUGGGUGCAGAGCUCUGGCAACCCGCUAUGUGCUCCAAAGAGCGUUCACCCAAAGUUUUUCUGGUUUUAAUUUAAAGACGAGCUACUUGUAUUCAGCUUCUUGAGAUGACCAAAGCUAGUUAGAGCUUCCCUGAUGUAAAUAGCUAAGCUGCUUCAAUGAUGAUCUUGACAUUUGCACUCCAGUUUGCUUUUCUUUAAGAAGCAGUUUCUACCUCUCCAUGUGCCUGAGUGAAGAUACAAUCGCUGUUUAGAUAGUAGCUGAACAAAAAGCCACAAGUUUAACGGAGUUGAAGAAAUAAGAUUGUCAGCUCUAACAAACGCAGCUGAUAAGCGGGAAAAGAUAUCACUUAAAAAGCAGGUCUAUCACUGGAUGAAAGAGAAUUCAGUUCUAAAAAAGCAAAUACCUUUUCCAGAAUUAUGAUGAGACUGUGUUUAUAAAAGGAAAGUGAAUUUUUAGAAAUUAUCAAAUACAUCUCAUCAGUGGAGGUAACUAGCCCAUGUGGAUUAUUUAUAGAACAGUUCCCUUCUCAUUAUUCAGAACCUUGUAUUAUUUUGAGUCAGAUCUUCCAUGAAGUGUGAUAGUUACUACUCAAAUUGUGCAACUGCUAAAACAAUCCUAUUUCUAUUUAACAAGAUUUCAAAUUAAAUGUGCUAAUUCAUCUUUCAGUGACCCAUUACAGGAAGGAAUACACAAUGGACAGUCUGGCUGUUGUAUAAUUAAAUAUUCAAUGCUAGUUUUCACAGAAUGACCAUGUAUCUGUUUUUGUGCAUUCAUGAUAGUUGGGAGUGAGGAAAGAGAAAUAAAGCAUUGAAUAGCAUAUAAAAUUUCCAUUGCUUG